AGUCGAGGGGUAUAGGAAGCUUGCUUCCUAGAGACCGGCGCACGGGUGCGUAACGCGUAUGCAAUCUACCUUUUGCAGAGGGAUAGCCCAGAGAAAUUUGGAUUAAUACCUCAUAGUAUAGCAGUUUCGCAUGAAACCACUAUUAAAGUCACAACGGCAAAAGAUGAGCAUGCGUCCCAUUAGCUUGUUGGUAAGGUAACGGCUUACCAAGGCAACGAUGGGUAGGGGUCCUGAGAGGGAGAUCCCCCACACUGGUACUGAGACACGGACCAGACUCCUACGGGAGGCAGCAGUGAGGAAUAUUGGACAAUGGGCGCAAGCCUGAUCCAGCCAUGCCGCGUGCAGGAUGACGGUCCUAUGGAUUGUAAACUGCUUUUGUACAGGAAGAAACACUGGUUCGUGAACCAGCUUGACGGUACUGUAAGAAUAAGGAUCGGCUAACUCCGUGCCAGCAGCCGCGGUAAUACGGAGGAUCCAAGCGUUAUCCGGAAUCAUUGGGUUUAAAGGGUCCGUAGGCGGUUUAGUAAGUCAGUGGUGAAAGCCCAUCGCUCAACGGUGGAACGGCCAUUGAUACUGCUAGACUUGAAUUAUUAGGAAGUAACUAGAAUAUGUAGUGUAGCGGUGAAAUGCUUAGAGAUUACAUGGAAUACCAAUUGCGAAGGCAGGUUACUACUAAUGGAUUGACGCUGAUGGACGAAAGCGUGGGUAGCGAACAGGAUUAGAUACCCUGGUAGUCCACGCCGUAAACGAUGGAUACUAGCUGUUGGGCGCAAGUUCAGUGGCUAAGCGAAAGUGAUAAGUAUCCCACCUGGGGAGUACGUUCGCA
Molecule: ribosomal RNA, 826 nt
Filed under: Flavobacterium sp.
Lineage: Bacteria; Pseudomonadati; Bacteroidota; Flavobacteriia; Flavobacteriales; Flavobacteriaceae
Description: bacterial SSU rRNA
Rfam family: Bacterial small subunit ribosomal RNA
Source: RNAcentral